Molecule: ribosomal RNA, 1438 nt
Filed under: uncultured organism
Description: SSU rRNA
Rfam family: Bacterial small subunit ribosomal RNA
Source: RNAcentral
ACAGGCUUAACACAUGCAAGUCGAGGGGCAGCAUGGUCUUAGCUUGCUAAGGCCGAUGGCGACCGGCGCACGGGUGAGUAACGCGUAUCCAACCUGCCUUACACUCUUGGACAGCCUUCUGAAAGGGAGAUUAAUACAAGAUGUUAUCAUGAGUAAGCAUUUUCGCAUGAUUAAAGGUUUACCGGUGUAAGAUGGGGAUGCGUUCCAUUAGAUAGUAGGCGGGGUAACGGCCCACCUAGUCUUCGAUGGAUAGGGGUUCUGAGAGGAAGGUCCCCCACAUUGGAACUGAGACACGGUCCAAACUCCUACGGGAGGCAGCAGUGAGGAAUAUUGGUCAAUGGACGAGAGUCUGAACCAGCCAAGUAGCGUGAAGGAUGAAGGUUCUAUGGAUUGUAAACUUCUUUUAUACGGGAAUAAACGAAUCCACGUGUGGAUUUUUGCAUGUACCGUAUGAAUAAGGAUCGGCUAACUCCGUGCCAGCAGCCGCGGUAAUACGGAGGAUCCGAGCGUUAUCCGGAUUUAUUGGGUUUAAAGGGAGCGUAGAUGGGUUGUUAAGUCAGUUGUGAAAGUUUGCGGCUCAACCGUAAAAUUGCAAUUGAUACUGGCAGUCUUGAGUACAGUUGAGGUAGGCGGAAUUCGUGGUGUAGCGGUGAAAUGCUUAGAUAUCACGAAGAACUCCGAUUGCGAAGGCAGCUUACUAACCUGUAACUGACAUUGAUGCUCGAAAGUGUGGGUAUCAAACAGGAUUAGAUACCCUGGUAGUCCACACGGUAAACGAUGAAUACUCGCUGUAGGCGAUAUACAGUCUGCGGCCAAGCGAAAGCAUUAAGUAUUCCACCUGGGGAGUACGCCGGCAACGGUGAAACUCAAAGGAAUUGACGGGGGCCCGCACAAGCGGAGGAACAUGUGGUUUAAUUCGAUGAUACGCGAGGAACCUUACCCGGGCUUAAAUUGCAACCGAAUAUGGCGGAAACGCUAUAGCUAGCAAUAGCGGUUGUGAAGGUGCUGCAUGGUUGUCGUCAGCUCGUGCCGUGAGGUGUCGGCUUAAGUGCCAUAACGAGCGCAACCCUUGCCGAUAGUUACUAACAGGUUAUGCUGAGGACUCUGUCGGGACUGCCAUCGUAAGAUGUGAGGAAGGUGGGGAUGACGUCAAAUCAGCACGGCCCUUACGUCCGGGGCUACACACGUGUUACAAUGGGGGGUACAGAGGGCUGCUACCACGCAAGUGGAUGCCAAUCCCAAAAACCUCUCUCAGUUCGGAUUGAAGUCUGCAACCCGACUUCAUGAAGCUGGAUUCGCUAGUAAUCGCGCAUCAGCCACGGCGCGGUGAAUACGUUCCCGGGCCUUGUACACACCGCCCGUCAAGCCAUGGGAGCCGGGGGUACCUGAAGUGCGUAACCGCAAGGAGCGCCCUAGGGUAAAACUGGUGACUGGGGCU